UUGGAGGGCAAGUCUGGUGCCAGCAGCCGCGGUAAUUCCAGCUCCAAUAGCGUAUAUUAAAGUUGUUGCAGUUAAAAAGCUCGUAGUUGAAUUUCGGGAUCAAAUUGUCGGUCGUGCCUCGGUACGCACUGGUAUUAUUGGUUCCUACCUUCUGAAGAACCGCGAUGUCAUUAAUUUGGUGUCGUGGGGAAUCAGGACUGUUACUUUGAAAAAAUUAGAGUGUUUAAAGCAGGCUUACGCUUGAAUACAUUAGCAUGGAAUAAUGAAAUAGGACGUUUGAUUCUAUUUUGUUGGUUUCUAGGAUUGACGUAAUGAUUAAUAGGGAUAGUUGGGGGCAUUAGUAUUCAAUUGUCAGAGGUGAAAUCCUUGGAUUUAUUGAAGACUAACAACUGCGAAAGCAUUUGCCAAGGAUGGUUUCAUUAAUCAAGAACGAAAGUUAGGGGAUCGAAGACGAUCAGAUACCGUCGUAGUCUUAACCAUAAACUAUGCCGACUAGGGAUCGGAUGAUGUUAAUUUUUUAAUGACUCAUUCGGCGCCUUACGGGAAAC
RNAcentral lists this ribosomal RNA (548 nucleotides) under uncultured Glomeromycotina. Its description in RNAcentral is "SSU rRNA". It matches the Rfam family "Eukaryotic small subunit ribosomal RNA", at positions 548 to 1098 of the family's 1831-position model. The record is from RNAcentral. Lineage: Eukaryota; Fungi; Glomeromycota.